GAUGAACGCUGGCGGCGUGCCUAAUACAUGCAAGUCGAGCGAACAGAUGAGGAGCUUGCUCCUCUGACGUUAGCGGCGGACGGGUGAGUAACACGUGGAUAACCUACCUAUAAGACUGGGAUAACUUCGGGAAACCGGAGCUAAUACCGGAUAAUAUAUUGAACCGCAUGGUUCAAUAGUGAAAGACGGUUUUGCUGUCACUUAUAGAUGGAUCCGCGCCGCAUUAGCUAGUUGGUAAGGUAACGGCUUACCAAGGCAACGAUGCGUAGCCGACCUGAGAGGGUGAUCGGCCACACUGGAACUGAGACACGGUCCAGACUCCUACGGGAGGCAGCAGUAGGGAAUCUUCCGCAAUGGGCGAAAGCCUGACGGAGCAACGCCGCGUGAGUGAUGAAGGUCUUCGGAUCGUAAAACUCUGUUAUUAGGGAAGAACAAAUGUGUAAGUAACUAUGCACGUCUUGACGGAACCUAAGCAGAAAGCCACGGCUAACUACGU
Molecule: ribosomal RNA, 496 nt
Filed under: uncultured bacterium
Lineage: Bacteria
Description: partial 16S ribosomal RNA
Rfam family: Bacterial small subunit ribosomal RNA
Source: RNAcentral